UUUUAUACGCCCGUCUAUGACGGGACGUAUUAUGGUAUACCCCGCGUCCGUCUGUCCGUCCGUCUGUCCGUCCGUCUGUCCGUCCGUCCGUCCGUCCGUCCGUCCGUCCGUCCGUCCGUCCGUCUGUUAAUGUCGUACGCUACGUCAAAUAUCCUUUGACAGAUUUUCUUCAAAUUUUAACACAAUCUUAAUAUUGAUAAACCCUGAUCCCCUUUCGUUUUUGACGGAAUUCUGAAUUGUCGUUCCAGAGUUAUGGGACUUUGUUCGUCAAAAUUUCGUGAUUUCAUUGAAUGUCCUACUGUAGCUCAAAUAUCCUUCGAUGGAUUUUUUUCAAAUUUCAACACAAUCUUAAUAUUGAUAAACCCUGAUCCCCUUUCGUUUUUGACGGAAUUCUGAAUUGUCGUUCCAGAGUUAUGGGACUUUGUUCGUCAAAAUUUCGUGAUUUCAUUGAAUGUCCUACUGUAGCUAUAUAAAAAUGUUAAAGUUGUUAUAACUUUGGUAUGCUUGGACCUAGAGUCUUGAAACUUGACAUGAAGGUUGGCCAGAACUAGUAAGUAACCACUGGACAUUUCAAGGUCAUUCAUUUGAAGGUCAAGGUCACUGUGACCUUGAAUGUAAAAAUGUUAAAGUUCUUAUUUCAUGUUAUAACUUUGGUAUGCUUGUACCUAGAGUCUUCAAACUUGAAAUAAAGAUUGGCCAGUACUAGAAGAUGACCACUGGUCAUUUCAAUGUCAUUCAUUUGAAGGUCAAGGUCACUGUGACCUUAAAUGUUAAAAUGUUAAAAUUGUUAUAACUUUGGUAUGCUUGGACAUAGAGUCUUCAAACUUGACAUGAAGGUUUGCAAGCACACUUAGAUGACCACUGGUCAUUUCAAGGUCAUUCAUUCUAAGGUCAAGGUCACUGUGACCUUAAAUGUUAUUGUUGUUCAUGUAUCCUACCGUAGCUCAAAUAUCCCCCGAUGGAUUUUUUAUACGCCCGUCUAUGACGGGACGUAUUAUGGUAUACCCCGCGUCCGUCUGUCCGUCCGUCCGUCCGUCCGUCCGUCUGUUAAUGUCGUACGCUACGUCAAAUAUCCUUUGACAGAUUUUCUUCAAAUUUUAACACAAUCUUAAUAUUGAUAAACCCUGAUCCCCUUUCGUUUUUGACGGAAUUCUGAAUUGUCGUUCCAGAGUUAUGGGACUUUGUUCGUCAAAAUUUCGUGAUUUCAUUGAAUGUCCUACUGUAGCUCAAAUAUCCUUCGAUGGAUUUUUUUCAAAUUUCAACACAAUCUUAAUAUUGAUAAACCCUGAUCCCCUUUCGUUUUUGACGGAAUUCUGAAUUGUCGUUCCAGAGUUAUGGGACUUUGUUCGUCAAAAUUUCGUGAUUUCCAUGCUCAUGUACUUAUAAAAUAAACCAUGUAUUCAAAUACAAAUAAACUGAAGUAAAAAAAUGA
Molecule: long non-coding RNA, 1432 nt
Organism: Dreissena polymorpha
Lineage: Eukaryota; Metazoa; Mollusca; Bivalvia; Myida; Dreissenidae
Exons: 2
Source: RefSeq, a predicted model, not a curated record